Molecule: ribosomal RNA, 899 nt
Filed under: Xylaria sp.
Lineage: Eukaryota; Fungi; Ascomycota; Sordariomycetes; Xylariales; Xylariaceae
Description: partial large subunit ribosomal RNA
Rfam family: Eukaryotic large subunit ribosomal RNA
Source: RNAcentral
ACGGGAGCAGACCAACAGGGAUUGCCCUAGUAACGGCGAGUGAAGCGGCAACAGCUCAAAUUUGAAAUCUGGCCCUCGGGUCCGAGUUGUAAUUUGUAGAGGAUGCUUUUGGCGCGGUGCCUUCCGAGUUCUCUGGAACGAGACGCCUUAGAGGGUGAGAGCCCCGUACGGUUGGACACCAAGCCUCUGUAAAGCUCCUUCGACGAGUCGAGUAGUUUGGGAAUGCUGCUCUAAAUGGGAGGUAAAUUUCUUCUAAAGCUAAAUAUUGGCCAGAGACCGAUAGCGCACAAGUAGAGUGAUCGAAAGAUGAAAAGCACUUUGAAAAGAGGGUUAAAUAGCACGUGAAAUUGUUGAAAGGGAAGCGUUUGCGACCAGACCUUUUCCUGGCGGAUCAUCCGGUGUUCUCACCGGUGCACUUCGCCUGGUUUAGGCCAGCAUCGGUUUCUGUAGGGGGAUAAAAGCUCUGGGAACGUAGCUCCCUCGGGAGUGUUAUAGCCCUCUGCAUAAUACCCUUACGGGGACCGAGGACCGCGCUUUAUGCAAGGAUGCUGGCGUAAUGGUCGUCAACGACCCGUCUUGAAACACGGACCAAGGAGUCGAACAUUUGUGCGAGUGUUUGGGUGUUAAACCCUCACGCGUAAUGAAGGUGAACGUAGGUGAGAGCCCUUACGGGUGCAUCAUCGACCGAUCCUGAUGUCUUCGGAUGGAUUUGAGUAAGAGCAUAACUGUUCGGACCCGAAAGAUGGUGAACUAUGCGUGGAUAGGGUGAAGCCAGAGGAAACUCUGGUGGAGGCUCGCAGCGGUUCUGACGUGCAAAUCGAUCGUCAAAUCUGCGCAUGGGGGCGAAAGACUUAUCGAACCAUCUAGUAGCUGGUUACGUGUUUUUUCUCUCUCGCGGG